GCCAAAAACCUAGCCCAACAGUUUCAAAUGCUACAAAACCAACACACCCCUUCCUAAUAAACCAUUUUAAUGUUCUAGUAAAGGAGAUUGAAAAAUUAAUUGGAGCUAUAACGAUAGUACCGCAAGGGAAUGAUGAAAUAUAUAAUGAAAAAUUUUCAAGCAACAAACAGUAAAGACUACCCCUUGUACCUUUUGCAUCAUGGUUUAACUAGUCUAAUCAAGCAAAAUGCAUUUAAGUUUGACUUCCCGAAACUAAGUGAGCUACUUCAGGGCAGCUAGAAGAGCGAACCCGUCUCUGUAGCAAAAGAGUGGGACGACCCUCAAGUAGCGGUGACAGACCUAACGAACUUAGUGAUAGCUGGUUACUCAAGAAAUGGAUUUAAGUCCCGCCUGAAACCCUACCCCAGUUUACCAAAACAAUCAACUAACUUUCAGCGUAAUUCAAAUAAGGUACAGCCUAUUUGAAACAGGAUACAACCUAGACUAAUGGAUAAGAUUAGCCCAGCAUACAACCAAGUGGGCCUAAAAGCAGCCAUCUUCAAAAUUGCGUCAAAGCUUAGUUGUUCUCACGCCUAAUAUCUUAAUUUUUAUCUUAAUCCUUAAUCAGUACUGAGUAAUUCUAUAAUUUUAUAGAACAUUUUAUGUUAAAACUAGUAACAAGAAGAAGACCCUUCUCUUAAAUGUAAGUGUAAAUCAGAAAGGACUAACCACUGAUAAUUAACACCCCUGAACUCAAAGUAGUAACUAACCAAGAGAAUCCUACUUUAAUUAAUGUUAACUUAACACAAAGACAUUUUAAGAAAGAUUAAAAGAAAAAGAAGGAACUCGGCAAAUAUUAACCUCGCCUGUUUACCAAAAACAUCGCCUCUUGACCCCCAUAAGAGGUCCAGCCUGCCCAGUGACUCUGUUCAACGGCCGCGGUAUCCUAACCGUGCGAAGGUAGCGUAAUCACUUGUUCUUUAAAUGUGGACUAGUAUGAAUGGCACCACGAAGGUUAUACUGUCUCCUUUUUCCAAUCAGUGAAACUAAUCUCCCCGUGAAGAAGCGGGGAUGAAACUAUAAGACGAGAAGACCCUAUGGAGCUUUAAACAAUAUAGCACUUGCCACAAAAAGUAAAAAUUUCCUAAUUACUAAAUUUUCAAAGCAACAUGACUAUGAGUUUUUGGUUGGGGUGACCGCGGAGCAUAAUACAACCUCCAUGCUGGAAGAAUCUUUUUCUAAGCUAAGAACUACUCAUCUAAGCAUCAACAUAUUGACAUCCAUUGACCCAAUACACUUGAACAACGAACCAAGUUACCCUAGGGAUAACAGCGCAAUCCACUUCAAGAGCUCCUAUCGACAAGUGGGUUUACGACCUCGAUGUUGGAUCAGGGUUCCCCAGUGGUGCAGCCGCUACUAACGGUUCGUUUGUUCAACGAUUAAAACCCUACGUGAUCUGAGUUCAGACCGGAGUAAUCCAGGUCAGUUUCUAUCUAUACAUGAGUUUCUUCUAGUACGAAAGGACCGAAGAAACGUGGCCUAUAUUUUCACAAGCCACUGCUACUAAACUAUGACAUAAACUUAAUAGUAUAAUAGCCUGUAACCUCGCUCUAGAUAAGAGCU
RNAcentral lists this ribosomal RNA (1602 nucleotides) under Strauchbufo raddei (Mongolian toad). RNAcentral describes it as "16S ribosomal RNA". It matches the Rfam family "Bacterial large subunit ribosomal RNA". Lineage: Eukaryota; Metazoa; Chordata; Amphibia; Anura; Bufonidae. The record is from RNAcentral.